This is a long non-coding RNA of Vollenhovia emeryi, 847 nucleotides long. RefSeq lists it as uncharacterized. Lineage: Eukaryota; Metazoa; Arthropoda; Insecta; Hymenoptera; Formicidae. The record is from RefSeq and is a predicted model, not a curated record. The transcript is spliced from 2 exons.
GAUAUAUGUAUAAAUUGUAAGACUUACAUUUCAAUAGUCAUUUGAGGCGGUGUCUUCAUACAGAGUGGUUUUUCAUUUAAGUAGCAGAAUUAUUUUUCUUAGCCGAACUCGCACGAUAUUACAGUGAUACUACCAAUAUCAAGAUCAGAUUAUCCGAGAAAAUAAUCGAAACCAUGGAUGAUAAAGAAUCUUGUAAUUCGUGGAACGGUAUAGACUCCGGCGAGAAGAUUGUUAUUUCUGGUAUAUCUGGAAGAUUUCCGGAUUCAGAUAAUAUGAAUCAGUUACAAAAAAAUUUAUUUAAUAAACGUGAACUUAUUAGAGCAGGCGAUGGCGGACAGGUGAAUAAUUUGUAUGCACUACAGUUCUGCAACCAUGCCUGAUUGACGAAUGAAAGAUAUGUCAGAAUUAGACAAAAAUCUAAUCUAAUUAACAAUUAUGAAUUACAAUUACAAUAUAAUUUUUAAUGCAAUUAAUAUAUUUUUAAUCGUUAUUGGUUGCAAACAAUUAAAUGAGAUAAUCGCGAAAAAUAAUUGUUUACGUUAAAAUGGCUAGACUAAUUAAUUCAUUAUAGAAAUACUACUGUUUGUUUAGUUUGUUCAGAUAAAUUAAUGUUUUAACAAUCAACAGUAUAUCUUCUAGAUUUUAAGUGUUUUUAUUAAUGAAGGACUCUUUACAUUUUUAUUAUUAUUUAAAAACAAUUUUUUAGGACUUAUACAAUAAUGUACAAUAUAUAUUUCUUUUCGCCAAGUUUUUUAAUAACCAAUAAUGUCUUGAAUCAAGACCGAUAUGUAUCCAACAAUUAAGUUAGAAAAGGCUAUCUUUUAAUAAAAUAUUUAUUUGUAUUGAA